Molecule: non-coding RNA, 180 nt
Filed under: Pseudomonas sp.
Lineage: Bacteria; Pseudomonadati; Pseudomonadota; Gammaproteobacteria; Pseudomonadales; Pseudomonadaceae
Also listed under: 3 other names
Description: 6S RNA
Rfam family: 6S / SsrS RNA
About the family: E. coli 6S RNA was the first non coding RNA to be sequenced, but its function was unknown until recently. It consists of 184 nucleotides that fold into an extended hairpin structure with a large single-stranded internal bulge. The 6S RNA specifically associates with RNA polymerase holoenzyme containing the sigma70 specificity factor.
Source: RNAcentral
CUGUCCCUGGGGUGUUUGCCAGUCGGUGAUGUCCCUGAGCCGAUACUCCUGUAGAAGGAGGCCACGCGUUGCUGCCAGUGUGCAUGUCCGCAUGACGGAAAGCCUGAGGCAGUGCCGUGUCCCCCACCUUGAACUUUCGGGUUCAAGGGCUAACCCGACAGCGGCAUUUCCGGGGACUCU